This 488-nucleotide long non-coding RNA is filed under the name Olea europaea subsp. europaea. Lineage: Eukaryota; Viridiplantae; Streptophyta; Magnoliopsida; Lamiales; Oleaceae. The record is from RNAcentral.
CUCUGAUAUGAUUUAGGAUCAAGCCCGACAAAGGCGAGUGCGAGACGAGACCCGUUGAUAGUCGAUAACGGACCAAUUGCGUGAUCAAGGGUAAAGCAAGUGAAACAAGCGAUGGGAUUGUUCGUUCAAGAAACCAUUGAUGGAACCAUGUUCGAGACUCAAAAUGGAGCAACUUUCAUGUUCGGGUCGAAAACCGAAUCAAUUUGGAUCAAUUUAAUAUCGAAGGCCGAAUACGGAAAAAAUGAUAGCCUAUGCGACCACAUAGGCUUAGCAGGCUUGCGAUCAUAUAAAGGCAUACCGAAACUCGAGAUGGAUUUUUAGUUGAACAAUGCGACCGCAUGGAAAUACACUAUGAGGUCGCAUAUGCCAAAAUUUUGGCGAAUUUUAUAAUUUUGGCAAUUUUUUAUAUUUUGUUAGUUUUUGAUUCUUUUCCAUAUUUUGGGGAUUAUAAUCGACUUUUGCACGAUUUUUACCUAAUUUUUAGGUUU